Molecule: long non-coding RNA, 3177 nt
Organism: Neofelis nebulosa (Clouded leopard)
Lineage: Eukaryota; Metazoa; Chordata; Mammalia; Carnivora; Felidae
Exons: 4
Source: RefSeq, a predicted model, not a curated record
CGCCGCGGGUACACCUUCCGGGCGGGGCCUCGGAGGACCGCCUCCCGCGCUGAUCUUCUGCCCUCGGGCGCUCGGCACCGGCACCGGCGGGGGGGGGGGGGGGGGCGGCUCCAACGGCUGGCCGGCGUGCACGGAAAUUAAAUGAAGGCCGGAGGGAGUAAUCCCCGCAAAGCGCAUCUCUGGCCGCCCUCGCUGAAAAUCCUUCCAGCUCCUGGGCUCCCGCCCCGCGCUCUUCCACCCCCCACCCCGACCCCACCCCGGCAGUGAUCGCCUCCGGCAAACUGUGCGUCUCUCCCUCCCUUGCGCAUCGCUGUUUCCCCGGGCACCUAGAACAGCACCUCACAUCCUGAUCAAUACAUAUGUCAAAAAUAAUUUUAAAAUAAUAAUAAUAAUGGGACUUUCAGGAACCGUAACCUCGAGAAAUGGAGAAGGGAGACCAUUCCUCACAUCACUAAACAUUUUGUGUGAAGGCCAGCACCGAAAAAUGCUUAACUACUUGGUGGGAUCAAAUUUCUCAAAGGCAGAGGUCAUCUGUCCGUCCAGGCAGCUAAUGAGCCAUGAAGACUAAAUGGAACACGGGAUCCUGGAUGGCUUCCUGAACCACAGAAGGGACAUUAGUAGGACAGCUGGUGAAACAGGAAUAGUCAGAAGUCACACGGCAAGACUGGGGUCUCUGCUCAGGGUCUCAGGAGGCUGAAAUCACUGUGAGUGGGGGAGUUCCCAACCGGAGACUGGAGAAAAAAACCGCCUUGCAAGCUCAUUCCCAGGGCAGAAUUCAGUUCCUGUAGUUCAGGAGUAAAGUCCUCACUUCCUGCCGGCCGCCAGCUGCCAGCCACCAGCACUCUGUUCCCAGGGGCUGCCCGCAUCCUUGCCACGUGGCCGCCUCCUGUCUUCAGUCGCGGAGUUUCAGAAAUCAGGAUUCAGUCUCUAGGGGACAGACGCUAUCCACACCCUCGCUGUCCCGGAUGGAAGGAGAGUAGCAUUGUGUUUAGUGCUCAGCAGCAGCUCCGGAGGCACCAGCAGCUGGGAGUGCACGCCCUGGGGCUGCCCGGUUCCCGGCCAGUCGGGGACAGUUGUCCCUUUCUUCACAAGGAAAGAGUGGCUGCAGCGAACGGGGUUUAAGUUGGGCCUUUGAAGCCCACCGAGCCCAGGGCCGGGCUUGCAUUGAGGAUCGAAUCACUGAAAACAUCAGAGCCCUAAAGGACUCCAGAAUGUCACCAAGCUGCUCUUGUGAAGCUCGCUCCUGUGCCAGCAGAUGACCAGGCUUUUUGUCGUUGUCGCAACGAGCGUGUCCUUUUUUCUCAACACUCUGACAAACUCCUGCUUCAAGCAGGGGCGAGCACUCACCCCCACUCGCUACUGACAAAGCUGCGGCUAAGGGAAGUGGCCUGCCCUGGGCGCCUGGCCACAAAGACGGAGCAGAGACCUCCAGCUGGGCCUCUCAACCGAUGCCACUGUCCUCACCGUGCCACACCCUCUCUCCAGGGAGCUGCGUUCUCUCCAGUCAGUCGUUGUCCUCCGGGCGGGAUAUCACAGUCCUCAGAGGGCUUGGCUGAGCUGGGAACCCAGGCCCAUCUGACCUCAGUGUAUUUAGUCUUAAUAACCUAUUUACGGCUGAGAAGCCAGACUGCCUCUUUCCCAGAAGUCAGGCACAACUGCUCUGGCCAAGCGGUGGCUUUCCACUCCCAUUAUAGUCCUAGAAGAUGAUGCUGCCCUUCUGAAGAGGAAAAUGAAGAGUCUUUGUGAUUCAAAUGAGUCACAUUGUCACUUCCAGAGAAAAAGCAAGUCUUCGAAGGGGGCUCUCACUAAACCCGUGAUCAGAACAACUUGGAGGCAAACUGGACGGCAUUGUGGAAGCUACGUGGUGGACGAUGUGUGACCAGCUCCAGAACUGGCCCUCCCUUCCACGCCCCGGGCCAUUUCUUCCCUCCUCUGCCUCUGUGUCCCCAUCUGUAAAAUGCAGAGAAUAUUAGUUGUUGGCCCGAUGUGAGGACCGAAUGACUGCUUAAAAGAGAAGCAGGAUUUCUUUUUUUUUUUUAAUGUUUAUUUUUGAGAGAGAGAGAGAGAGACUGCAAGCAGGGGAGGGGCAGAGAGAGAGGGAGACAGAGGAUCCAAAGUGGGCUCUACGCUGACAGCAAAGAACUGGGUGCAGGGCUCGAACCCACAAACUGCGAGAUCGUGACCAGGGCCUAAGUCAGAAGAUUAACUGACUGAGCCACCCAGGCGCUCCGAAAACGCAGAAUUUCUAAUGUUGGAGGAACAUAUUUUUACUGCACUUGAGGGUGGCUUUUCUACAUUAUACGAAAGACUGCUUCGAGAUAUUUCUAUUUUUCAAUAUACAUUUUAUCCAAAUUCAAAAUUUUAGGUUUUCCUUAAGUUCUUAGACUUAACUCAAAGCUGCAUUAUUCUACUUAUAACCUUAUCAUAUAAAAUAUAGUAAAACUUAACAGUCAUUGUUCAGGGGAAUUUGAUGACUGGUCCCAUGUAGAAAUCCAGCUAUUUAAACUGCCUUAUCAAUUAAAAACUGCAUUUAUGAAAUACUUUAUACUUCAGAACACUUUGGUUUGCUCACAAGCCUUGCCAAAUAACCAACUAAAUAUGGCAAAUCUUCAGUUCUUUUAUUAAAUGUUCCCAUACUGCUGACAAUCUUAAUAAAAUUGCAUUGCACCUUUUAGCUUAAAGCUCAGGUCAUGACCUCAGAGUCGUGAGAUUGAGCCCCGAGUUGGGCUCUGUGCUGAGUGUGGAACCUGCUUAAGAUUGUCUCUCUGUCCCUCCUUGGCUCUCACGUGUGCUCGCUUGUGCUCUCUCUCUCUCUUUCUCUCAAAAAAAAAAAAAAAAAAUUUUUUUUUUAAACUGGGAUCACAAGGCCUGUCCAUUGGAUACUCAAAUUUGCCACAUCCUCUUAAAAUUACAAGUUCUCAAGAUGCCAAAGAGAUACUGGUCACCUAAACUUAACCCCAAAAUAUCAAAAGUGUGGGUUUAAUUUGCUUCAUAUUCCUCUGCUUAAAUAGAAACUUUUCCACAGUUAAAAGAAAAAGACUCUGAAGAAACAGUUAUGUCAUAUCAGCAAGUCAGGGCUCCUGUCCCAAGGCACUGACUAAGGUUACUUAUUGACCAGAAAGACCCUGAUUGGGACAGCAAAAAAUAUCCAACAUAAUAAAGAUUUUCCAGACCUUC